GUGCCAGCAGCCGCGGUAACACGUAUGGGGCAAGCGUUGUUCGGAAUCACUGGGCGUAAAGGGCGUGUAGGCGGUUCGAAAAGCCCGGCGUGAAAGGUGUCGGCCUAACCGACAGACUGCGCUGGGAACUGCCGGACUGGAGUCAUGGAGGGGGAGCUGGAAUUCCAGGUGUAGGGGUGAAAUCUGUAGAGAUCUGGAAGAACACCGGUGGCGAAGGCGAGCUUCUGGCCAAUGACUGACGCUGAGGCGCGAAAGCGUGGGGAGCAAACAGGAUUAGAUACCCCGGUAGUCC
Molecule: ribosomal RNA, 292 nt
Filed under: uncultured bacterium
Lineage: Bacteria
Description: partial 16S ribosomal RNA
Rfam family: Bacterial small subunit ribosomal RNA
Source: RNAcentral